UUCCGUGUUGAUUGGGAUUUACAGAAAAAAUGUGCUUUGUUUAUAUGUUCCACACACUUUCAUCCAUCUGAAUUUGUUUGUGCGUGUGGCUUUUUCCGGAUUUGAACGGACACCAUCUUUUGGAGAGAAAAAAAAAGCAACCCAAGAUCUACUAAAGAGGGGCAAGGCGAAGAGGCAGUUCGUGAGCAGGCAAGAUGUCGGGGGCAGGGGCGAGGCAGCGCGGUCUGGUUCUGAGCAGGGAGGUCAUGGAUCGAGGAAGGCAGUUAAGAAUCCGGAUGGAUGUCGAGAGGCAAGGUGUGUUGAUACUUGACAGGCUGCAGGCUUGUUGCUGCUUGGGCGUGCUGCACUCAGCACGAGUGAGGGCGAGUCUGAGUGCACUGUCAGCAGAGGCCACUCUUGGCGCACUGCUAGCGGAGGCGCACGCAGCUCCAGCCGCCGAGGAAACGCCGGUUCCACUCCGCGUCGUGACACGUUGACCUUCUAGAAACUUAAACUGCAGCUCAGCUCACUCGCAGUUCUGGCUUGAGGUGAAGGCUAAUAAGCUUUUAGUGUAACGUUAGUGUAGUGAGUCUUAUUCUGCGUUGUGUAGUGUUUUAAGUAAGAGACACUCCACCAUUCCGUCGUUUCAUCAUUUCUUGGCCACCUUUGUUGGAAACACGAAACACAUACACAGGUCUCUACUUUCUGGCGAAGUGAUACCUCAUCAUCA
Long non-coding RNA from Nerophis ophidion (straightnose pipefish), 709 nucleotides. RefSeq lists it as uncharacterized. The transcript is spliced from 3 exons. The record is from RefSeq and is a predicted model, not a curated record. Lineage: Eukaryota; Metazoa; Chordata; Actinopteri; Syngnathiformes; Syngnathidae.